Sus scrofa (pig) is the source of this 1451-nucleotide non-coding RNA. Lineage: Eukaryota; Metazoa; Chordata; Mammalia; Artiodactyla; Suidae. The record is from RefSeq and is a predicted model, not a curated record.
ACAAUGCUCUCCCUCCCCUGGAACUUAAAUGCUCACCGUUUCCCUCCGACCCUCUUUGAAUGGCUAACCUGGGCACACCUGGAAAAGCGAUGGGAGACUUCUGUUUCUAAGGGUCCUGAAUCAUCUGUGAGCUCUUGUAACAUCAUUUCAAAGAGAGGCUGAACCCAAUCAGAGCAAAGCCCAGGUGAAACGCCUCUUGAGCAAGACGUAAAAAAGGAAAGAGGCAGCCUUCGUCCACCCCCAACUCCACCAGAAGCCCAUGAGCUCUGCCAGGCCAGGACUUCCUCCUUCCUUUCUUCUGCCGAGGGGUCAGAAUUCAUUGCAUCUCCUGAGCAGGGUCCCCACAGACCUUGCAUGACACGAUAAGAAGCCUGGAGCCUGCAGGGCUGGGAGUCGGCCCGUGGAGACCAGGAGGGAACUUGGAAGGACAGGGCAGACUUGGAGCACAACCAAUCAGCCCCUCCAGUCAGCUCGAGGCCGAAGACCCUCCAUCAAUGUAGCUCAGUGGCAUCUUCUCCCAGGAACACCCAACCCACAUCCAAGCCCUUCAGAAAUAAUGUAAAAACCCUCUAGACCAGUGGAGCGCCCAAAGGAGGGAGCGAGAGGAUGAGAGGCCACACUGGACAGAAUGCACAGCUGGGCAAGGGCUGGAGACCCUGUCACCUCUUCUCCCGCCCUCUCCUCUCCUUGAAUUCAAGCCCUGAAAUGUUUCCGGGAGAGUUCUCACCCAGAAACACCGCCUCCAUCCCACAACCAAGAAGCUCAAGGCUUCCACUGAGACAACAUAAGCAGCUGCUGCUUUCUAGAUGUCAAAGGUGGUGCCUCUGAAAUCUUGGAGUCACGAGAUAAACUUUGAGUUAGAAUUCCUGACCUAAAAUAAGCGGUGCCAAUGUCUUCUGCUGCUGUUGGAUCUACAGCGAGCCCAGAGUGGUGCAGAGUGGCACAAGGGUGCCAAUAAAAUGGAAUGACAAUGACCUCCAAACGUCUAAGACAGGAUGACUGAUGAAAAGCUGACAGCGAAUAGAUUUUAAAAGGGAAGUGGUCAAUCAAGUGCAAGCCACAGCCCCACAGGCAGGGCAUGGCUGACCGGGUGAAGGCCAAAGACAAGACAGAAGAAGGGUGGAGCUGCCCGAAACGCUGAGGCUGAGAGAUGGGGGCAGGGCUGUCCUUCUCAAGCCAUCGAGUCCACCGUCUCUGCUCUUGGAAGGGCUGCCACAGCCACUGCAGACUGGUAGUGGCUCUCAGCAGCCUAUCUUGACUUCCGCAGAUUCUCACAGUGAGUGCGUGUCUGCGAGCGCACCGAUCAUCUUUAAAAACGUAUUUAACCCCAUUUGCAUGUGCUCAUCCACACUGAGCAAAGAACUCCUCCUCCUCCUCUUACUCGUCCACAGAGAUUUAGGAACUGUUUCAUAAUCCCUUCUCGGGAGAACAGUCUUCAUUCACUCACACUG